GUACCUCCCGGAGGAGUGGCACUAAGAACACAGGUGAUUGUUGUGGUGGUUAUAUCAAUGCAUUUGUGUUCUCAGGUCACCCCUUUGGGGAACUC
Non-coding RNA from Thalictrum thalictroides, 95 nucleotides. NCBI's taxonomy places the organism in Eukaryota, Viridiplantae, Streptophyta, Magnoliopsida, Ranunculales, Ranunculaceae. The record is from the annotation of a GenBank genome assembly.